This 225-nucleotide long non-coding RNA is filed under the name Anas platyrhynchos platyrhynchos (common mallard). RNAcentral describes it as "lncRNA (ENSAPLG00000018675.1)". The record is from RNAcentral. Lineage: Eukaryota; Metazoa; Chordata; Aves; Anseriformes; Anatidae.
UUUAUUUCUAUGCUGUCCCCAGUAGAGCGUAAACCUUUGGAGGAACCUGUCACAGGAAAGAGCUCCUUCUGGAACUGUUCAGCACUCGGUAGGCAGCUCGGUGACUGGCUUGAUCUACUUCUGAGCUGAAACACAGUGUACGACACGGGACUUGACGACCAGAGCUGCUUUUGGCAAGGGGUGUUGUAGCUGGCUUAAGAGAGCAGAUGGAAGCAUCUGCCUUGA